CUAUUUCUGAUGAGACCCAAUCAGGUCGAAACAGCUGUCCGGUAG
Molecule: non-coding RNA, 45 nt
Filed under: Echinostoma caproni
Lineage: Eukaryota; Metazoa; Platyhelminthes; Trematoda; Plagiorchiida; Echinostomatidae
Source: RNAcentral